Long non-coding RNA from Anas platyrhynchos (mallard), 464 nucleotides. RefSeq lists it as uncharacterized. Lineage: Eukaryota; Metazoa; Chordata; Aves; Anseriformes; Anatidae. The record is from RefSeq and is a predicted model, not a curated record.
GAUCAACAAGUUCAGCACUUUGUCCUCUGCCCCUUGCCUUGAAAUUACUUUUAGAAAACUACGGCAAAAUAAAGUCCAAGCAGCUGAAAUAUAAUAGUAGUAGUUUAACAAGCUACACCACUCCCUCAUCUGGAGCAGCAGUAUACCCAAGCAGAAGGAUUAGUGAUGUGCAGCUGUUUUACCACUUAAUGAAACUUGUCCAUAUGCCUGGCACGUCAGUUGCUUGGAGAUAGGUACUUUCACCAAGUGUCUCCCUUUGACUCUAAAGGCAUCAUUAUUGCAUCCCUUCUUCCCCUUGCCCCAGCAUGGAAGCUGGAAGCUGGCUCUCACACCUCUGCCAUGGCUCUUGGACAUCCAUCUCUCAGACAACGUCUUCUCCACCAUCACAGUGAGAUCCUUUCAUGCCACCAUGUUCCAGCUUGGCAGUAUCACCACUUCCAACAUACAAGGCAUAAAUACGAAAG